CGCCUCUUGCUUUCCCAGUAUAAGAGGUCCUGCCUGCCCCGUGACCAUGUGUUCAACGGCCGCGGUAUUUUGACCGUGCAAAGGUAGCGCAAUCACUUGUCUUUUAAAUGAAGACCCGUAUGAACGGCAAGACGAGGGCUUAGCUGUCUCCCCCCCUCGGUCAAUGAAAUUGUUCCCCCCGUGCAGAAGCGGGGAUACCCCCAUAAGACGAGAAGACCCUAUGGAGCUUUAGAUGAACAGGUGACCCACUCUAAUAAGUCUGCCUUAAGAGAACCAACCUCGUUGGAACUCACCUGUAUGUCUUCGGUUGGGGCGACCGCGGGGUAAAGAAAAACCCCCGUGUGGAUACGGGUUACCACCCUACAGACAAGAGAUUCAACUCCAAGCACCAAAAUUUUUGACCAGUGAUCCGGCAAAGCCGAUCAACGAACCUAGUUACCCUAGGGAUAACAGCGCAAUCCCCUCUAAGAGCCCUUAUCGACGAGGGGGUUUACGACCUCGAUGUUGGAUCAGGGCAUCCUAAUGGUGAAGCCGCUAUUAAGGGUUCGUUU
This 551-nucleotide ribosomal RNA is filed under the name Corythoichthys haematopterus. RNAcentral's name for it is "partial 16S ribosomal RNA". It matches the Rfam family "Bacterial large subunit ribosomal RNA", at positions 1816 to 2578 of the family's 2925-position model. The record is from RNAcentral. Lineage: Eukaryota; Metazoa; Chordata; Actinopteri; Syngnathiformes; Syngnathidae.